ACUCCGUUCCUGCCUAUAAAAAGCCAUUCCACACAAAACCCAUUCACAACAUUUUUUUAUUUUUCAUUUUUUUUAAUCUAAAAGCCCUCAACAAGCCCAUUUUCUCUACUAAAAAGAGGACUCAUAUCUCUAGUUUGUUCGUGGAUCUGACGCCAUCACAACCGUUCAUUUCACGACCAUCCAAUGGCGUUAGAUUCACGCACAAACUCGCGAUCUGUCUCCUCUAAACACCAUAUUGCUCCUUUUUGGCGCCGCCUAUUCCGAUUUUACUUUGAUAUUUUCCCUCCCUAGUUAACAUCGACACUUUCAAUUAAUCUUUCCAUAACAGAUUUUGAAAGUCAAAAGAGAAAAGAUCAGAGAGAUUCAGAAGUAAUCAGAUCAUGGAUACGGAGGAAUCAACGAGCGUGAUGGAUGAUUAAGAGACGUUGAUUUCGUCGACCGCUGUUGAGCUCUUGAAAAGAGCGUGGCGUCACGAGAAAUCUGCUCCGGAGAUUCUUCAGUUUAAGGCUUCUUUAGUUCAAAGAAUUAAAGAGCAUAUCGAAUUAGUGGAACAAAAUGUGGAAAUAUUUGAAGCAAAUAAUAUAGAUCCUCACUGUCUCGCUUUACCAAAUGGACUUUGGAUAGAACUCAAUUUUUGUUGAGAUCGUAUUUUCGGUUCGCCUUCAAAAGGUAGCAAGUUCUUGUGUUUUGUUACGGUGUGUCCGGAGAGUAUGUUGAAGUUGAUUUGCUUGUUGGGUUCCGAAUGCAGAUUGAGAAGUAUUUAUUCUAUAUUUUGAAAACUGAUGAGUAUCUAAACCGGCUUUCUAAGCAGGAGCAAAUGUUUGCUAGAAGGUGCACGGAUGAUUUGGGAAGGCAUCUUGACGAUACUGUUUUGGCAAAGUUGCCUGAUAAUUACCCGUCCAUGUUAAAGCAAUCUAUUACCAGUGAAGAGGAUGAUAUGGGUACUCAAUUCUUCUCUAAAUCGUUUCUACAUUUGUUUUGAAGUGUUGAAACAUUAUUGUCAUUUACUAAGUAUGUAUGCAUGUAUGGUUCCAGAGCUAUGUACUCUUCAAUCUCAUGUGGUGAUGCCGGUUGUAUAUUGACCCAUAACAUGCAGAUAUUUUUAUAUUUUGUUUGGAAGCUUGUGAGGUAGCUUUGCCUGGUAACCCUUUCGUUCCUUAGUUGGCAUUUUCAAUCAUUAUCGAAGAAGCUCAAGCUAUUUGUUGUGUUUGGAAUAUGCAAAUGGAAUAUAGAAAUUGUUUACAUUUUCCAAUAAGCAUUUUGUAGAAAUCCUAAUAUUCUUGGCAAGAGAAUAUUUAUCUGCUUUUGUAAAAAAAAAAUUGUUUUACCUGUAAUUUUCACAAUCUAAGUGACAAAGGAAGGAUUUCUAGUAUAGUCAGCCAUUCUAUCAUCGGAUGCACCCAACUAUUGCUCUCAUAAUGUAUUGAUGUUAUUUUGUGAUGAUGAUGUUAAUACGGUCUGGUUAAUGCUUGAAACGUGAUUGUGAAACCAGACCUAAGAAUGCAAUUAGCUCGAACAUUGCUGAAAUUGCUGCUUAAGUUCCUUGAGAUACUGGCCCUGUAAGUUGCAAUGCACUUAAAGCAGUGAACGAUGUCCACAUCACAUGCCUUGUUACUCGGAAAGGCAUCUAAAUUCUUGGCACCGAGGAGUAGUGUUCUCUUAUUGAGCUUUUUGUGUCCAUGCUUUGUCCUGUCAUUUUAUCCUGGAAUUGAUGGUUUACUUGCUAAUUUGCAUAUGUAUUCUGUCUGUGCCUUUGAAUCUUUCUGCUCACUGAAUUGUAUUUUGGUGUUUGAAUUUGACUACUUUUUCACUAUUAGUCGUUUCCAAAUAAGGUUGUCACCGUCUUUCUAACACUAUAUGAUCACUAACAACACUACGGAUGAUUUGGAAAGUCAUCUUAAUGAGACUGUUCUGUCAAAUCUGCUGACAUUUACCGGUCCAUAUAAAGCAAUCAAUUAGUGAAGAGUGUAAUAUGGCCAGCCCUUACUUUCAUUUAGCCAUCUAGUUUGUAUAUUUACCACGGCUGGACACAUUCGUUAUCUGCGAAGCCAAGCAAUAUCUUUGUAGCCUUGACUUUGAGCCUGGGUACAGCAUGAAAAUCACAGAGAUGGAGCGUGAUUUACUUACCUUCGUAUGUUACAAGUUCAUAAAGAAGCCUUUGGAGAAUGGGAAAAUAGGUUUGAUGUAAGCAAUCCUGCUGCUCUGGGUCAAUUCAUUGCUAGACCAACGAGCCAGAAAUUAAGGAUGGCUGAGUACUUCAGUGUCUGAGCAGGAUGUGGCAGUUGAUGGUGUCUCUCAUGACGCUCAUGAAUGCGAUGCCAAACGUCUUGUAAUAUUGAUUUUGAGUCAAGUGUCUCGUGUUUUAGUUAUACAUAAUAAUGUCUUUUAACUAUGGAUUGAUUUUACAAAUGAUUUGCCGAACAGUUUUUAGUU
Long non-coding RNA from Populus trichocarpa (black cottonwood), 2433 nucleotides. RefSeq lists it as uncharacterized. The transcript is spliced from 5 exons. Lineage: Eukaryota; Viridiplantae; Streptophyta; Magnoliopsida; Malpighiales; Salicaceae. The record is from RefSeq and is a predicted model, not a curated record.